UAAGUCUAGUGAUGGCUAAAUCUAAUGCCCACAUGUUGCAGAGAAUAACGGCUUAAAACCUUAUAUUUACUAAUAACAUGUGAUUCAUUCGUAUUUUUAUAUAAUAGAAUAACCGUGAGAUCACCCUUCAAUAAUUCGUUUCAACUCAGUUAUAACCGAUAAACUAAGUGGCACUUUAGCAUUAGCCUAGGCUAGGACUUUCAUUUGUUACAACUUUAAUUUCUUUGCAACACUUUAUUAAUCUCGCGUAACUUGUUAUAAACAUAGUGAAUAUACUUAGUUAGGUAUUUAUUUG
Molecule: unclassified non-coding RNA, 295 nt
Filed under: Moritella viscosa
Lineage: Bacteria; Pseudomonadati; Pseudomonadota; Gammaproteobacteria; Alteromonadales; Moritellaceae
Description: putative sRNA
Source: RNAcentral